CAGAAAGUAGUUUAAUAGAAUAUUAAUUUUGGAGAUUAACGGUGGAAUAAAAUAUUUCCUUUCUGA
Molecule: transfer RNA, 66 nt
Filed under: Prosopocoilus laterotarsus
Lineage: Eukaryota; Metazoa; Arthropoda; Insecta; Coleoptera; Lucanidae
Also listed under: 1 other name
Description: tRNA-Pro
Source: RNAcentral